Long non-coding RNA from Biomphalaria glabrata, 760 nucleotides. RefSeq lists it as uncharacterized. The record is from RefSeq and is a predicted model, not a curated record. The transcript is spliced from 3 exons. Lineage: Eukaryota; Metazoa; Mollusca; Gastropoda; Planorbidae.
CAAAUUAUUUUUUUUAACACACAUUAUUUCAAAUAUUCUAGGUAAACCAGCCUAUGUAUUAGCUAUGUUUAAAAUUCAUCCCACAACUGCAUCUAAGACAGGGGUGGGCAAAUUACGGCCCGGGGGCCGGAUGUGGCCCAGCGGAAUGUUUUAUGCGGCCUGCUGACACCUACAGCAGACAUGCCUAUAGUCCCGCAUUAUGCGGAAACGGCCCGCAAAAUCAUCAAAAAAGCUCACAUGUUCCGCCGUUCCGCAUUCACGAUUUUUUGUUCCGCCAAGUCUGAAUUUUAUCAUUAUUUAUUAAUAGUGCGAAUUGAAAAUACUGAGUGCAAAAUAAAAUAUAUAUAGGUCUGUGUUUAUUGUUUACAUUUCAUCUACUUCCGGACCCGGUGUGUCCUAAAUUUACGAAGAAAUGGUUGAAGACUAGAUCUAGAUCUACAUCUAGUUCUAGACAUAGAUCUCUAGAUCUAAUGAUCUAGUAGUCUAGGUCUAGAUAUUAGAAUUAGAUCUAUUCUUAGAAUCUAGUGGCGAUUUUAUUGUUUACCAUGGAGUUGUCUACUUUUCAAAUUUUACUGACCAAGUUUUUUACAGUGACUGAUCCAUCAGCAGUUUCCGAAGCAGUAACUGAUAUCUCAAAAAAAUAUUGCUUUGCUGAUGGUGUCUGGUCACCCUAGAGGAUCAACAGGAUUUGUUCAUUGAAAGACACUUGAAGAUGUAGGCAGUUAAAGCAAAAGGACUUCUUGCAAUGUUUGUUUCAAGG